Molecule: ribosomal RNA, 391 nt
Filed under: uncultured bacterium
Lineage: Bacteria
Description: bacterial SSU rRNA
Rfam family: Bacterial small subunit ribosomal RNA
Source: RNAcentral
GACGAACGCUGGCGGCGUGCUUAACACAUGCAAGUCGAGCGGUAAGGCCCUUUCGGGGGUACACGAGCGGCGAACGGGUGAGUAACACGUGGGUGACCUGCCCUCAGCUCUGGGAUAAGCCUGGGAAACCGGGUCUAAUACUGGAUAUGACUCCAUGACGCAUGUUGGUGGGGUGGAAAGCCUUGUGCGGCUGAGGAUGGGCCCGCGGCCUAUCAGCUUGUUGGUGGGGUGANGGCCUACCAAGGCGACGACGGGUAGCCGGCCUGAGAGGGCGACCGGCCACACUGGGACUGAGACACGGCCCAGACUCCUACGGGAGGGCAGCAGUGGGGAAGUCUUGCGCAAUGGGCGAAAGCCUGACGCAGCGACGCCGCGUGAGGGAUGACGGCCU